RNAcentral lists this ribosomal RNA (497 nucleotides) under uncultured bacterium. RNAcentral describes it as "partial 16S ribosomal RNA". It matches the Rfam family "Bacterial small subunit ribosomal RNA", at positions 28 to 507 of the family's 1533-position model. The record is from RNAcentral.
GAUGAACGCUGGCGGCGUGCCUAAUACAUGCAAGUCGAGCGAACAGACGAGGAGCUUGCUCCUCUGACGUUAGCGGCGGACGGGUGAGUAACACGUGGAUAACCUACCUAUAAGACUGGGAUAACUUCGGGAAACCGGAGCUCAUACCGGAUAACAUGUUGAACCGCAUGGUUCAACAGUGGAAGACGGUCUUGCUGUCACUUAUAGAUGGAUCCGCGCCGCAUUAGCUAGUUGGUAAGGUAACGGCUUACCAAGGCAACGAUGCGUAGCCGACCUGAGAGGGUGAUCGGCCACACUGGAACUGAGACACGGUCCAGACUCCUACGGGAGGCAGCAGUAGGGAAUCUUCCGCAAUGGGCGAAAGCCUGACGGAGCAACGCCGCGUGAGUGAAGAAGGUCUUCGGAUCGUAAAACUCUGUUAUUAGGGAAGAACAAAUGUGUAAGUAACUAUGCACGUCUUGACGGUACCUAAUCAGAAAGCCACGGCUAACUACGUG